CACCCAGACUCCUACGGGAGGCAGCAGUGGGGAAUAUUGCACAAUGGGGGAAACCCUGAUGCAGCAACGCCGCGUGAGUGAAGAAGUAUUUCGGUAUGUAAAGCUCUAUCAGCAGGGAAGAAGAUGACGGUACCUGAUUAAGAAGCCCCGGCUAACUACGUGCCAGCAGCCGCGGUAAUACGUAGGGGGCAAGCGUUAUCCGGAUUUACUGGGUGUAAAGGGAGCGUAGACGGCAAGGCAAGCCAGAAGUGAAAGGGCAGGGCUCAACCCUGUACAUGCUUUUGGAACUGUGGUGCUAGAGUGCAGGAGAGGUAAGUGGAAUUCCUAGUGUAGCGGUGAAAUGCGUAGAUAUCAGGAGGAACACCGGUGGCGAAGGCGGCUUACUGGACCAUAACUGACGUUGAGGCUCGAAAGCGUGGGGAGCGAACAGGAUUAGAUACCCCGGUAGA
This 449-nucleotide ribosomal RNA is filed under the name uncultured bacterium. Its description in RNAcentral is "bacterial SSU rRNA". It matches the Rfam family "Bacterial small subunit ribosomal RNA", at positions 328 to 794 of the family's 1533-position model. The record is from RNAcentral.